CACCCAUUCACCCAUUGGAGUGGAAGUUUUUGCUCCCAAACUUAAUUAAACCCAACAUCCUGUAUGAUUAAAGCCAUGGACUUAACUCACUCCAAAUCUCCGGAGUCAGAUACUGAUACUAGAACCCCACUGCAGACCCACCUCUCCAGGGCCUUAUCUCUCUGCAAUGGCUCUUUCAAUCCAUCCCACCAUUACCAUACCCUAAAUCCCCAGCCAUCACCCCUCCAAAUGGUGGUGUCCUACAAAGAAUGCCUCAAAAACCAUGCUGCUAACCUUGGUGGCCUUGCCCUUGAUGGCUGUGGAGAGUUCAUGCCUAGUCCCACUGCUAACCCUUCCGACCCUACUUCCCUUAAAUGUGCUGCUUGUGGCUGCCACCGCAACUUCCACCGCCGU
Molecule: unclassified non-coding RNA, 393 nt
Filed under: Hevea brasiliensis (rubber tree)
Lineage: Eukaryota; Viridiplantae; Streptophyta; Magnoliopsida; Malpighiales; Euphorbiaceae
Source: RNAcentral